RNAcentral lists this ribosomal RNA (443 nucleotides) under uncultured soil bacterium. RNAcentral describes it as "bacterial SSU rRNA". It matches the Rfam family "Bacterial small subunit ribosomal RNA", at positions 26 to 518 of the family's 1533-position model. The record is from RNAcentral.
AGAACGAACGCUGGCGGCAUGCCUAAUACAUGCAAGUCGAACGAACACUUCGGUGUUAGUGGCGCACGGGUGCGUAACGCGUGGGAAUCUGCCCUUGGGUUCGGAAUAACGGUUGGAAACGACUGCUAAUACCGGAUGAUAUCGAAAGAUCAAAGAUUUAUCGCCCAGGGAUGAGCCCGCGUAGGAUUAGCUAGUUGGUGAGGUAAAGGCUCACCAAGGCGACGAUCCUUAGCUGGUCUGAGAGGAUGAUCAGCCACACUGGGACUGAGACACGGCCCAGACUCCUACGGGAGCAGCAGUAGGGAAUAUUGGACAAUGGGCGCAAGCCUGAUCCAGCAAUGCCGCGUGAGUGAUGAAGGCCUUAGGGUUGUAAAGCUCUUUUACCCGAGAUGAUAAUGACAGUAUCGGAGAAUAAGCCCGGCUAACUCCGUGCCAGCAGCCGC